GAUGACUGUGUGGUGGCGUUGCGACAUGUGUAUCCAAAAGACUCUCGGCAACGGAUAUCUCGGCUC
Molecule: ribosomal RNA, 66 nt
Filed under: Sophora tomentosa
Lineage: Eukaryota; Viridiplantae; Streptophyta; Magnoliopsida; Fabales; Fabaceae
Description: 5.8S ribosomal RNA
Source: RNAcentral